Molecule: ribosomal RNA, 427 nt
Filed under: uncultured Comamonadaceae bacterium
Lineage: Bacteria; Pseudomonadati; Pseudomonadota; Betaproteobacteria; Burkholderiales; Comamonadaceae
Also listed under: 1 other name
Description: bacterial SSU rRNA
Rfam family: Bacterial small subunit ribosomal RNA
Source: RNAcentral
UGGGGAAUUUUGGACAAUGGGCGAAAGCCUGAUCCAGCAAUGCCGCGUGCAGGAUGAAGGCCUUCGGGUUGUAAACUGCUUUUGUACGGAACGAAAAGACUCUGGUUAAUACCUGGGGUUCAUGACGGUACCGUAAGAAUAAGCACCGGCUAACUACGUGCCAGCAGCCGCGGUAAUACGUAGGGUGCAAGCGUUAAUCGGAAUUACUGGGCGUAAAGCGUGCGCAGGCGGUGAUGUAAGACAGAUGUGAAAUCCCCGGGCUCAACCUGGGAACUGCAUUAGUGACUGCAUCGCUGGAGUGCGGCAGAGGGGGAUGGAAUUCCGCGUGUAGCAGUGAAAUGCGUAGAUAUGCGGAGGAACACCGAUGGCGAAGGCAAUCCCCUGGGCCUGCACUGACGCUCAUGCACGAAAGCGUGGGGAGCAAACA